UGUAGAUUGUUGUCAGAGUUGCAAAUCAUUCUACGAUGCCUCGAAAGGGCGCGUGAUUUUCGUUUUCUUUUCGAUUCUACGUACGUAGAUACUACAUGGGUAUGAUCAACGAUAGGUAUGGUUUUGUAAUUUAAUCUUACCAACCUCGAGGCGAUCCCACUAUCGAGCGGCUUGCGCAAAAAAUAUCAAAUGACAUAUGUAAAUUAUGCAAUGCAACAAUGUUAUUAUAGCGUGAGAUUUAUUUUUCGUUUGAUGAAUGCGCGAACUGAUUAGGAGGUAAUUGGAAUGGCCGGUACGCUGCUGGCUUAUUUGUUCAUGAGGUUGGUUUUAAUGAUGACUGAAAACUCGGUGAUUCUGCACGCUUUACUUACCAGCAUCGAGAAUACGUUGCUUGACAGAAUGUUGCCUUCCGUGCCAGAAUUGCCACGCCUUAAUCUCGUCUUCUGGGCUCUUCUCUUCUCGGAACAUCAACAUUACCACGCUCUGCGCGACAAAACAUCAAGAAAACACUCAACGGGUUAAACAACUUUUUCGCCGUUACAUUUUACUAACUCCUGUAAUACCUGUUUCUUUAUUACGACUACUCUGAGGAUAGAAUUUAAGGGUUAGGAUAAAGUAGGCAUCUUUUUUCAAUGACUAUUUUCACAUGUUUCUUUUUCUUCGUUUUAGAUAAAUUUAGUUUAUAAUUCUAUCUAUUAUCGUGUUCCGCAAUCCCAUUUGACAGGCUCGAAUAGUGCGAGGCGAAAUCACUGAUCUGUUUACAACCAACACUUGAUAUCUAGAGAUCUAAAUAGGCACGGAACUGGCGGUAAUAAUAAUCAGGUGUGAGCGGACUCACAUUAAGACAGAAGGUGAUCGUUAUAGACGCUUGG
This 872-nucleotide unclassified non-coding RNA is filed under the name Bombus terrestris (buff-tailed bumblebee). Its description in RNAcentral is "misc RNA ENSBTSG00005025893.1". The record is from RNAcentral. Lineage: Eukaryota; Metazoa; Arthropoda; Insecta; Hymenoptera; Apidae.